Molecule: ribosomal RNA, 1533 nt
Filed under: metagenome
Description: SSU rRNA
Rfam family: Eukaryotic small subunit ribosomal RNA
Source: RNAcentral
GGAGAGGGAGCCUGAGAAAUGGCUACCACUUCUAAGGAGGGCAGCAGGCGCGUAAAUUACCCAAUCCUAAUACGGGGAGGUAGUGACAAUAAAUAACAAUGCUGGUCCAAAAGGAUUAGUAAUUGGAAUGAGAACAAUUUAAACCCCUUAUCGAGUAACCAUCAGAGGGCAAGUCUGGUGCCAGCAGCCGCGGUAAUUCCAGCUCUGAUAGCGUAUAUUAAAGUUGUUGCAGUUAAAAAGCUCGUAGUUGGAAAUGAGAAGACAAUGAAAGGGUCGAUCCUCACGGAUUUUGUACUCUUUUUAUUACUUCUUUCCUACUGGUUACUCGACUCUGUCCUUUACUGGAUGGAGUAGUAUCGUAAGAUAUCAUAUGAUGAUUGAUUGCUUUUGAAUGUAUUUAUUGGGUAAAACUGAUAGAGAAACUCAAGAGAUCACAGUUAGUUGUUAUAUGGGGUUCCAGUUCAUUUACUUUGAGUAAAUUAGAGUGUUCAAAGCAGCCUCUUGGGGUAUUGAAUAGAUUAGCAUGGGAUAAUAGAAUAGGACUUUUGUUUAUUUUCUAAUUGGUUAUUAAAUGAGAGUAAUGAUUAAUAGGGAUAGUUGGGGGCACUUGUAUUCAAUAGUCAGAGGUGAAAUUCUAGGAUUUAUUGAAGACAAACUUCAGCGAAAGCAUUUGCCAAGGAUGUUUUCAUUAAUCAAGAACGAAAGUUAGGGGAUCGAAGACGAUUAGACACCGUCGUAGUCUUAACUAUAAACUAUGCCGACCAGGGAUAUGAGAGGAUUUAUUAACAAACAUGUAACAAUGUUUGUUCUCUUGUGCACCUUGUGAGAAAUCAUAAGUGUUUGGGUUCUGGGGGGAGUAUGGUCGCAAGGCUGAAACUUAAAGGAAUUGACGGAGGGCACCACCAGGAGUGGAGCCUGCGGCUUAAUUUGACCCAACACGGGAAAACUUACCAGGUCCAGACAUUAGAAGGAUUGACAGGUUGAUAGCCCUUUCUUGAUUUGAUGAAUGGUGGUGCAUGGCCGUUCUUAGUUGGUGGAGUGAUUUGUCUGGUUAAUUCCGAUAACGAACGAGACCUCUGCUAAAAAAUAGGGGAUACUAAUCUUCUGGUUAGUAUUCAAUUCCCUUCUUUUUGGGACUUUUGGUUUUUAAUCCAAAGGAAGUUAGAGGCAAUAACAGGUCUGUGAUGCCCUUAGAUGUUCUGGGCCGCACGCGCGCUACACUGAUAAGUUCAAAGAGUAUCUUCUAUUAGAAUCCUUCUCUGAAAAGAGUGGGUAAUCUUUUAAAACUUAUCGUGAUGGGGAUAGAUGAUUGCAAUUAUUCAUCUUGAACGAGGAAUUCCUAGUAAGCGUAAGUCAUCAGCUUACGUUGAUUACGUCCCUGCCCCUUGUACACACCGCCCGUCGCUGCUACCGAUUGGAUGAUCCGGUGAAAUCUUUGGAUUACUAUGAAAUACUUUGGGUUAAACCAGAGUUUUGUGGUGAAAAGUUGAUUAAACCUUAUCAUCUAGAGGAAGCAAAAGUCGUAACAAGGUU